GGAUGCGGAUCUCGAAAGCCUGUCCCAGUUCGGACUGGAGUCUGCAACCCGACUCCACGAAGUUGGAUUCGCUAGUAAUCGCGCAUCAGCCAUGGCGCGGUGAAUACGUUCCCGGGCCUUGUACACACCGCCCGUCAAGCCAUGGGAGCCGGGGGCGCCUGAAGUCCGGGACCGCGAGGACCGGCCUAGGGCGAAACUGGUAACUGGGGCUAAGUCGUAACAAGGUACC
Molecule: ribosomal RNA, 229 nt
Filed under: uncultured bacterium
Lineage: Bacteria
Description: partial 16S ribosomal RNA
Rfam family: Bacterial small subunit ribosomal RNA
Source: RNAcentral